GACGGUUUCCUCUUCGGAGGCACCUGCACAGGUGCUGCAUGGCUGUCGUCAGCUCGUGUCGUGAGAUGUUGGGUUAAGUCCCGCAACGAGCGCAACCCUUAUCCCCAGUUGCCAUCAGGUAAAGCUGGGAACUCUGGGGAGACUGCCGGUGAUAAACCGGAGGAAGGCGGGGAUGACGUCAAGUCCUCAUGGCCCUUAUAGGUGGGGCUACACACGUCAUACAAUGGCUGGUACAAAGGGUUGCCAACCCGCGAGGGGGAGCCAAUCCCAUAAAGCCAGUCGUAGUCCGGAUCGUAGUCUGCAACUCGACUACGUGAAGUCGGAAUCGCUAGUAAUCGUGGAUCAGAAUGUCACGGUGAGUACGUUCCCGGGUCUU
RNAcentral lists this ribosomal RNA (376 nucleotides) under uncultured Thiothrix sp. RNAcentral describes it as "bacterial SSU rRNA". It matches the Rfam family "Bacterial small subunit ribosomal RNA", at positions 1007 to 1382 of the family's 1533-position model. The record is from RNAcentral. Lineage: Bacteria; Pseudomonadati; Pseudomonadota; Gammaproteobacteria; Thiotrichales; Thiotrichaceae.